GGCGAACGGGUGAGUAACACGUGGGUGAUCUGCCCUGUACUUCGGGAUAAGCUUGGGAAACUGGGUCUAAUACCGGAUAGGACCAUGGUUUAGUGUCUCAUGGUGGAAAAAUUAUUGUUUUGGUGCAGGAUGAGCUCGCGGCCUAUCAGCUUGUUGGUGGGGUAAUGGCCUACCAAGGCGUCGACGGGUAGCCGGCCUGAGAGGGUGGACGGCCACAUUGGGACUGAGAUACGGCCCAG
RNAcentral lists this ribosomal RNA (239 nucleotides) under uncultured Actinomycetales bacterium. Its description in RNAcentral is "partial 16S ribosomal RNA". It matches the Rfam family "Bacterial small subunit ribosomal RNA", at positions 97 to 334 of the family's 1533-position model. The record is from RNAcentral. Lineage: Bacteria; Bacillati; Actinomycetota; Actinomycetes; Actinomycetales.